This 253-nucleotide ribosomal RNA is filed under the name uncultured bacterium. Its description in RNAcentral is "partial 16S ribosomal RNA". It matches the Rfam family "Bacterial small subunit ribosomal RNA", at positions 524 to 776 of the family's 1533-position model. The record is from RNAcentral.
UACGGAGGGUGCAAGCAUUGAUCGGAAUUACUGGGCGUAAAGGGCGCGUAGGCGGCGAGAUAAGUCAGAUGUGAAAUUCCGGGGCUCAACCCCGGAGCUGCAUUUGAAACUGUCUGGCUAGAGUUCAGUUAGGGUAAACGGAAUUCCACGUGUAGCGGUGAAAUGCGUAGAUAUGUGGAAGAACACCGGUGGUGAAGACGGUUUACUGGGCUGAUACUGACGCUGAGGCGCGAAAGCAUGGGGAGCAAACAGG